GAGCGGUGAUGAGGUCUGUGUCAAUUCAGAUAGAUGGGUCUAUCUUUGCUUCUGAUUCUUAUUCAGAGGAAAAUAUGGCACUUCAGAGCUC
This is a non-coding RNA of Cajanus cajan (pigeon pea), 91 nucleotides long. NCBI's taxonomy places the organism in Eukaryota, Viridiplantae, Streptophyta, Magnoliopsida, Fabales, Fabaceae. The record is from Rfam.